Molecule: long non-coding RNA, 990 nt
Organism: Myotis daubentonii (Daubenton's bat)
Lineage: Eukaryota; Metazoa; Chordata; Mammalia; Chiroptera; Vespertilionidae
Exons: 2
Source: RefSeq, a predicted model, not a curated record
GGGUGACGACGCUCAACCACUCUGGCUGGGCUGUAGCCAAUCUUAAUUGUGUCUUUCAACAAAUAUCUAGAAGUGGAACUGCCCGUUAGAAAGUCUGUACAUAUUUUGAUUGACUUUAGAGACACAGAGAGAGGGUGAGAGAGAAACAUGGAUUUGCUGUUCCACUGCCUGAUGCAUUCAUUGGUUGCUUCUUGUAUGUGCCCUGAGCAGGGACUAAGGCCGGCAACCUUGGCCUAUUGGGAAGACGCUCUAACCCAGCGGUUCUCAACCUGUGGGUUGCAACCCCUUUGGCGGUCGGACGACCCUUUCACAGGGGUCGCCUAAGACCAUCCUGCAGAUCAGAUAUUUUCAUGACGAUUCAUAACAGUAGCAACAUGACAGUGAUGAAGUAGCAACGACAAUCAUUUUAUGGUUGGGUCACAACAUGAGGAACUGUAUUUAAUGGGCCAGAAGGUUGAGAACCACUGCUUUAGACAUUUGUACAACUUACUGGAUUCUUUCAGAAUCAGUUUUUUAUGUAAAUAAACCUGAACACCCAGUGCAAAAGGUGUUCUCUAACCAGGCAUGUCGGCCUCUCUGUUGCUCUCCCUGUUCCUAAGGACUGUGCCGCAGAGUCAGACACCAAAUAAAGUCCCCGAAGUGGCACGGGGAGUCCUUGUUUAUUCAGCGCGUCCCCUGGGAAUGCAGGUGUGUGCAUGGCCCGUGGAGAAAGGGGACACGCCUGAAACAGAGCAGCGUUCGGUGUUUGCUGUUCCUUUGAAGGAGGGAGCCCUAGCCGGUGUGGCUCAGUGGAUAGAGCGUCAACCUGCGGACUGAAGGGUCCUGGGUUCGAUUGUGAUCGAGGGCACAUGCCCGGGUUGCAGGGUUGAUUCCCAGCGGGGGGCAUGCAGGAGGCAGCCGAUCAACAAUUCUCUCUCAUCAUUGACGUUUCUAUCUCUCUCCCUCUCCCUUCCUCUCUGAAAUCAAUAAAAAUAUAUUAACAAAAUAGAA